Long non-coding RNA from Catharus ustulatus (Swainson's thrush), 1012 nucleotides. RefSeq lists it as uncharacterized. The record is from RefSeq and is a predicted model, not a curated record. Lineage: Eukaryota; Metazoa; Chordata; Aves; Passeriformes; Turdidae. The transcript is spliced from 4 exons.
UGCACAGGCUGCUAGUGGAGAGCUAGCUCAGCCAGUAACUCCUCUGAGAUAGCUGCUAUUGCAUUUUAUUGCAGCUCUGUGCUGGAUCUGAAACAGUGCCUUAGCAAUGAAAAUCUCCCCAUGAGAUACUGGAAUAUCUCAUUAGCAAAAUUACUUUUUCCAAGAGUGGUUUUUGUGUAAACAUAAAGCCCUUCAUUUACAAAGAGAGCGUUUCAGCAAACAUCUCUUAUUCCUAUUUUAAUGUAAUUUGCAAGAACAUGAAUUUUUUUUCUUGUACCCAUAUGGAGAGGAGCAAGAUCCUUCAGGAGUUGUCUGAUGAGGUACAUUUUUCCAGCAAUGAAACCUAUUUGGGGGGCUUCUUCACUAACCAGUUUAAAGUGAUUUGUAUGAUCUGGAGAGAAUUUUACACAUGCUAAGUGUGCCUAAACACCAACUACAGAUUCUUCUGGUUUUACAAAGGAUGGAAAGAUGAGUCAAGUCACAAUUGCAUCCCAGAAGUGCCAAAUCCUGUGCUUACACCCAGCUUGAAUCCACCAUUUUAAGUUCAUAAUGUGAAGUUGGUUGGUGCUGGUCCCUCACAGCAAGACAAUGGAUAUUGGGCAGGAAAUGAACUCUAUGACAGAGGUGUAGAUUUGGCAGAGCACACUUUGCUGUAUUAAACAGACUCCUGUCUGAGAAACACCAGCUUCAGAGAAAUCCUGCAAUAAGAACUAAGAAGGGGGAAGCCCUAGAAGAGAACUACAGACAAAAGCCACUUGAUGUCUCCGGCUGUCACCACCCAGGAGAGGCCGCGCCGGGCAGCUCUGCCCCUCAUCGCUUGGGUAAGGACUCCCUCUCCUGGAAAAACGGCAGAAACGGCGCGGGACAGCGCGGAGGGGGAAGGGGACAGCGACGGCAGCGGGACCCGCCUCGGGAUCCGCCUCCGCCCGUCCCACGAAAAGCUGAAAAUCUGCUGCCACCCAGCGCCGCGGCCGCGCAGCGCACGGGCCGCGCCGGGGCCGCCCCGAACCGG